Molecule: ribosomal RNA, 515 nt
Filed under: Fusarium oxysporum
Lineage: Eukaryota; Fungi; Ascomycota; Sordariomycetes; Hypocreales; Nectriaceae
Description: eukaryotic LSU rRNA
Rfam family: 5.8S ribosomal RNA (bases 150-303)
Source: RNAcentral
GGACUCGGGCGGUCGCUCCCAACCCCUGUGACAUACCACUUGUUGCCUCGGCGGAUCAGCCCGCUCCCGGUAAAACGGGACGGCCCGCCAGAGGACCCCUAAACUCUGUUUCUAUAUGUAACUUCUGAGUAAAACCAUAAAUAAAUCAAAACUUUCAACAACGGAUCUCUUGGUUCUGGCAUCGAUGAAGAACGCAGCAAAAUGCGAUAAGUAAUGUGAAUUGCAGAAUUCAGUGAAUCAUCGAAUCUUUGAACGCACAUUGCGCCCGCCAGUAUUCUGGCGGGCAUGCCUGUUCGAGCGUCAUUUCAACCCUCAAGCACAGCUUGGUGUUGGGACUCGCGUUAAUUCGCGUUCCUCAAAUUGAUUGGCGGUCACGUCGAGCUUCCAUAGCGUAGUAGUAAAACCCUCGUUACUGGUAAUCGUCGCGGCCACGCCGUUAAACCCCAACUUCUGAAUGUUGACCUCGGAUCAGGUAGGAAUACCCGCUGAAGUAAAGCAUAUCAAUAAGCGGAGGA